GUGCCAGCAGCCGCGGUAAUACAGAGGUGGCGAGCGUUGUUCGGAUUUACUGGGCGUAAAGGGUGCGUAGGAGGUCGGGUGUGUCGGAUGUGAAAUCUUGCUGUUCAUCGGCAAAACUGCAUUCGAAACUGCCCGGCUUGAGUGCAGGAGAGGAGAGCGGAAUUCUCGGUGUAGCGGUGAAAUGCGUUGAGAUCGAGAGGAACGCCGGUGGCGAAGGCGGCUCUCUGGACUGUAACUGACUCUGAGGCACGAAAGAUGGGGGAGCAAACAGGAUUAGAUACCCUGGUAGUCCCAUCCGUAAACGGUGUGCACUUGGUGUGGGAGGAUUUAUCCCCUUCCGUGCCGGAGCUAACGCGUUAAGUGCACCGCCUGGGGAGUACGGCCGCAAGGCUAAAACUCAAAGAAAUUGACGGGGGCCCGCACAAGCGGUGGAGCAUGUGGCUUAAUUCGAUGCAACGCGAAGAACCUUACCAAGGCUUGACAUGCACUUGCACGUUCUGCGAAAGCAGAACUCCUUCGAGGGUAGUGCACAGGUGCUGCAUGGCUGUCGUCAGCUCGUGCCGUGAGGUGUUUGGUUAAGUCCAGCAACGAGCGCAACCCUUGUGAAUAGUUGCUCAUUUUCGGAUAGCACUCUAUUCAGACUGCCUGUGAUAAGCAGGAGGAAGGUGGGGAUGACGUCAAGUCCGUAUGGCCUUUAUGCCUUGGGCUGCACACGUGCUACAAUGAACGGUACAGAAAGAAGCAAGACCGCGAGGUGGAGCUAAUCUCCAAAACCGUUCCCAGUUCAGAUUGGAGUCUGAAACUCGACUCCAUGAAGCCGGAAUCGCUAGUAAUGGCGCAUCAGCUACGGCGCCGUGAAUACGUUCCCGGGCCUUGUACACACCGCCCGUCACAUCAUGAAAGCCGAUUGCACCCGAAAUGGUCGAUUCAACCCGCAAGGGGGAUAGAUCCCUAAGGUGUGGUUGGUGAUUGGGAUGAAGUCGUAACAAGGUAACC
RNAcentral lists this ribosomal RNA (996 nucleotides) under uncultured bacterium. RNAcentral's name for it is "bacterial SSU rRNA". It matches the Rfam family "Bacterial small subunit ribosomal RNA", at positions 505 to 1501 of the family's 1533-position model. The record is from RNAcentral.